GUCCCAGUUCGGAUUGUAGUCUGCAACCCGACUACAUGAAGCUGGAAUCGCUAGUAAUCGCAGGUCAGCAUACUGCGGUGAAUACGUUCCCGGGUCUUGUACACACCGCCCGUCACACCAUGGGAGCCGGAAAUGCCCGAAGCCAGUGACCCAACCUUAGGGAGGGAGCUGUCGAAGGUGGAGCCGGUAACUGGGGUGAAGUCGUAACAAGGUAAC
RNAcentral lists this ribosomal RNA (216 nucleotides) under uncultured bacterium. RNAcentral's name for it is "partial 16S ribosomal RNA". It matches the Rfam family "Bacterial small subunit ribosomal RNA", at positions 1285 to 1500 of the family's 1533-position model. The record is from RNAcentral.